RNAcentral lists this ribosomal RNA (468 nucleotides) under uncultured bacterium. RNAcentral describes it as "partial 16S ribosomal RNA". It matches the Rfam family "Bacterial small subunit ribosomal RNA", at positions 28 to 507 of the family's 1533-position model. The record is from RNAcentral.
GACGAACGCUGGCGGCGUGCUUAACACAUGCAAGUCGAACGGAAAGGCCCUGCUUUUGUGGGUUGCUCGAGUGGCGAACGGGUGAGUAACACGUGAGUAACCUGCCCUUGACUUUGGGAUAACUUCAGGAAACUGGGGCUCAUACCGGAUAUGAGCUCCUGCUGCAUGGUGGGGGUUGGAAAGUUUCGGCGGUUGGGGAUGGACUCGCGGCUUAUCAGCUUGUUGGUGGGGUAGUGGCUUACCAAGGGUUUGACGGGUAGCCGGCCUGAGAGGGUGACCGGGCACAUGGGGACUGAGAGACGGCGCAGACUCCUACGGGAGGCAGCAGGGGGGAAUAUUGCAGAAUGGGCGGAAGCCUGAGGCAGAAACGCCGCGUGCGGGAUGACGGCCUUCGGGUUGUAAACCGAUUUCGCCGGUGACGAAGCGGGAGUGACGGUAAUGGGUAAAGAAGCACCGGCUAACUACGUG